CUUCAACGAGCCCAGCCACAGCGGCUUCCCGGGGUCCCGGCCCUGUCCGUACGUCGCCAGCAGCGCCUGCGCCUC
Molecule: antisense RNA, 75 nt
Filed under: Streptomyces cellostaticus
Lineage: Bacteria; Bacillati; Actinomycetota; Actinomycetes; Kitasatosporales; Streptomycetaceae
Description: ASpks TB sRNA
Rfam family: ASpks TB sRNA
Source: Rfam by way of RNAcentral